This 325-nucleotide long non-coding RNA is filed under the name Rattus norvegicus (Norway rat). RNAcentral describes it as "long non-coding RNA NONRATT012453". Lineage: Eukaryota; Metazoa; Chordata; Mammalia; Rodentia; Muridae. The record is from RNAcentral.
CUUCAGUCCGUAGGUGGCUGUUUUCAUUGUCUUAUCACCAUGGAUUUCCUCAAACUUAACUAGAAGAGGAGAAGGAGAAGAAGAAAGAAGAGGAGGGGGAGGAGGAGGAGGAGCAGGAGGAGGAGGAGGAGAACAUGCUUGGUGUCUUAAGGAGAGUCCCUACAAGAACUGAAGGUUGCAGUGUGAAGAAUCCAGUGUCCACCCAUCUGGAAGGGCUGUGAUCCUGAUUCCCAUGAGUAGCACAUGGUAGUUGCUGUUACCUUGGACUGAUUCAUGAAGAUUCUCACCCUCCCUUGUUUGGGAUGAACUUGGAUUCUAAGGAGAC